RNAcentral lists this long non-coding RNA (320 nucleotides) under Hordeum vulgare. RNAcentral describes it as "long non-coding RNA (HVUL_LNC006989)". Lineage: Eukaryota; Viridiplantae; Streptophyta; Magnoliopsida; Poales; Poaceae. The record is from RNAcentral.
UCCACAUACAUGCGACGUUUGGCAUAAUUUCAACGCCACCACUAUGUGUGUAGCAAUAAUGUACAAAUUUAGCCAACGCCAGCACUAUUCAAAAAUAUUAAUGGUGGCGUUGUCUGGAAACGCCGCGCCACCAACAGGAGUUGUGGCUACCAUUACUCCACUAGUGUCGUGAAGACCAUAUGCUUGAAAACUAUGGAGAGAUCAUGUUUUCGGUCUUCGAUUUGAGGGAUCGUUCGUGAUCGGUUCAAGGGACUACAUCGACGAUCUACACCGACUCUUCUUUUACCGCAACUCGGAGUUGGCAACAUUCGAUCUAAACC